AGGAAGUAAAAGUCGUAACAAGGUCUCCGUAGGUGAACCUGCGGAGGGAUCAUUACAAGUGACCCCGGUCUUACCACCGGGAUGUUCAUAACCCUUUGUUGUCCGACUCUGUUGCCUCCGGGGCGACCCUGCCUUCGGGCGGGGGCUCCGGGUGGACACUUCAAACUCUUGCGUAACUUUGCAGUCUGAGUAAACUUAAUUAAUAAAUUAAAACUUUUAACAACGGAUCUCUUGGUUCUGGCAUCGAUGAAGAACGCAGCGAAAUGCGAUAAGUAAUGUGAAUUGCAGAAUUCAGUGAAUCAUCGAAUCUUUGAACGCACAUUGCGCCCCCUGGUAUUCCGGGGGGCAUGCCUGUUCGAGCGUCAUUUCACCACUCAAGCCUCGCUUGGUAUUGGGCAACGCGGUCCGCCGCGUGCCUCAAAUCGACCGGCUGGGUCUUCUGUCCCCUAAGCGUUGUGGAAACUAUUCGCAAAAGGGUGUUCGGGAGGCUACGCCGUAAAACAACCCCAUUUCUAAGGUUGACCUCGGAUCGGGUAGGGAUACCCGCUGAACUUAAGCAUAUCAAUAAGCGGAGGAAAAGAAACCAACAGGGAUUGCUCUAGUAACGGCGAGUGAAGCAGCAAUAGCUCAAAUUUGAAAUCUGGCGUCUUCGACGUCCGAGUUGUAAUUUGUAGAGGAUGCUUCUGAGUAACCACCGACCUAAGUUCCUUGGAACAGGACGUCAUAGAGGGUGAGAAUCCCGUAUGCGGUCGGAAAGGUGCUCUAUACGUAGCUCCUUCGACGAGUCGAGUUGUUUGGGAAUGCAGCUCUAAAUGGGAGGUAAAUUUCUUCUAAAGCUAAAUAUUGGCCAGAGACCGAUAGCGCACAAGUAGAGUGAUCGAAAGAUGAAAAGCACUUUGGAAAGAGAGUUAAAAAGCACGUGAAAUUGUUAAAAGGGAAGGGAUUGCAACCAGACUUGCUCGCGGUGUUCCGCCGGUCUUCUGACCGGUCUACUCGCCGCGUUGCAGGCCAGCAUCGUCUGGUGCCGCUGGAUAAGACUUGAGGAAUGUAGCUCCCUCGGGAGUGUUAUAGCCUCUUGUGAUGCAGCGAGCGCCGGGCGAGGUCCGCGCUUCGGCUAGGAUGCUGGCGUAAUGGUC
Molecule: ribosomal RNA, 1136 nt
Filed under: Cladosporium sp. G325
Lineage: Eukaryota; Fungi; Ascomycota; Dothideomycetes; Cladosporiales; Cladosporiaceae
Description: eukaryotic LSU rRNA
Rfam family: Eukaryotic large subunit ribosomal RNA (bases 520-1136)
Source: RNAcentral